Molecule: ribosomal RNA, 995 nt
Filed under: Salmonella enterica subsp. enterica serovar Typhimurium
Lineage: Bacteria; Pseudomonadati; Pseudomonadota; Gammaproteobacteria; Enterobacterales; Enterobacteriaceae
Description: bacterial SSU rRNA
Rfam family: Bacterial small subunit ribosomal RNA
Source: RNAcentral
AGAGUUUGAUCAUGGCUCAGAUUGAACGCUGGCGGCAGGCCUAACACAUGCAAGUCGAACGGUAACAGGAAGCAGCUUGCUGCUUUGCUGACGAGUGGCGGACGGGCGAGUAAUGUCUGGGAAACUGCCUGAUGGAGGGGGAUAACUACUGGAAACGGUGGCUAAUACCGCAUAACGUCGCAAGACCAAAGAGGGGGACCUUCGGGCCUCUUGCCAUCAGAUGUGCCCAGAUGGGAUUAGCUUGUUGGUGAGGUAACGGCUCACCAAGGCGACGAUCCCUAGCUGGUCUGAGAGGAUGACCAGCCACACUGGAACUGAGACACGGUCCAGACUCCUACGGGAGGCAGCAGUGGGGAAUAUUGCACAAUGGGCGCAAGCCUGAUGCAGCCAUGCCGCGUGUAUGAAGAAGGCCUUCGGGUUGUAAAGUACUUUCAGCGGGGAGGAAGGUGUUGUGGUUAAUAACCGCAGCAAUUGACGUUACCCGCAGAAGAAGCACCGGCUAACUCCGUGCAAGCAGCCGCGGUAAUACGGAGGGUGCAAUCGUUAAUCGGAAUUACUGUGCGUAAAGCGCACGCAGGCGGUCUGUCAAGUCGGAUGUGAAAUCCCCGGGCUCAACCUGGGAACUGCAUUCGAAACUGGCAGGCUUGAGUCUUGUAGAGGGGGGUAGAAUUCCAGGUGUAGCGGUGAAAUGCGUAGAGAUCUGGAGGAAUACCGGUGGCGAAGGCGGCCCCCUGGACAAAGACUGACGCUCAGGUGCGAAAGCGUGGGGAGCAAACAGGAUUAGAUACCCUGGUAGUCCACGCCGUAAACGAUGUCUACUUGGAGGUUGUGCCCUUGAGGCGUGGCUUCCGGAGCUAACGCGUUAAGUAGACCGCCUGGGGAGUACGGCCGCAAGGUUAAAACUCAAAUGAAUUGACGGGGGCCCGCACAAGCGGUGGAGCAUGUGGUUUAAUUCGAUGCAACGCGAAGAACCUUACCUGGUCUUGACAUCCACA